Molecule: transfer RNA, 70 nt
Filed under: Anniella geronimensis
Lineage: Eukaryota; Metazoa; Chordata; Lepidosauria; Squamata; Anniellidae
Description: tRNA-Ile
Rfam family: tRNA
About the family: Transfer RNA (tRNA) molecules are approximately 80 nucleotides in length. Their secondary structure includes four short double-helical elements and three loops (D, anti-codon, and T loops).
Source: RNAcentral
GGAACUGUGCCUGAACUAAAGGAUUACUUUGAUAUAAUGAACAAUAGAGGUUAUAAUCCUCUCAGCUCCA